RNAcentral lists this ribosomal RNA (559 nucleotides) under uncultured bacterium. Its description in RNAcentral is "bacterial SSU rRNA". It matches the Rfam family "Bacterial small subunit ribosomal RNA", at positions 364 to 917 of the family's 1533-position model. The record is from RNAcentral.
UUGGANUGGGGGAACCCUGACCAGCGANCCNCGUGGAGNAUGAAGGCCUUUGGGUUUCCAACUCCUUUNGUNGGGGAAGAAAUGCGAUCAGGUGAACAAUCUGGUCGUUUGACUGUNCCCGGCGAAUAAGCUCCGGCUAACUCCGUGCCAGCAGCCGCGGUAACACGGGGGGAGCAAGCGUUGUUCGGAAUCACUGGGCGUAAAGGGCGUGUAGGCGGUCAGGUAAGUGGAAUGUGAAAUCCCUCGGCUCACCCGAGGACCUGCAUCCCAAACUGCCUGGCUUGAGUAUGGGAGAGGAUGAGGGAAUUCCUGGUGUAGCGGUGAAAUGCGUAGAUAUCAGGAGGAACACCGGUGGCGAAGGCGCUCAUCUGGCCCAAUACUGACGCUGAGGCGCGAAAGCUAGGGGAGCAAACGGGAUUAGAUACCCCGGUAGUCCUAGCCGUAAACGGUGAUCACUAGGUGUUGGAGGCACCGACCCCUCCAGUGCCGCAGCUAACGCAUUAAGUGAUCCGCCUGGGGAGUACGGCCGCAAGGUCGAAACUCAAAAAAAAUUGACGGA